GGGUUCGUGGUCUAGUUUGGUAGGAUCUGCGCCUGGGGCGCGCAAGAUCGGGGGUUCAAAUCCCUCCGAACCCA
This 74-nucleotide transfer RNA is filed under the name Candidatus Heimdallarchaeota archaeon. RNAcentral's name for it is "tRNA-Pro". It matches the Rfam family "tRNA". Rfam says of the family: Transfer RNA (tRNA) molecules are approximately 80 nucleotides in length. The record is from RNAcentral. RNAcentral also lists the same sequence under 5 other names. Lineage: Archaea; Promethearchaeati; Candidatus Heimdallarchaeota.